AUUGAACGCUGGCGGCAGGCCUAACACAUGCAAGUCGAGCGGUAGCACAGGAGAGCUUGCUCUCUGGGUGACGAGCGGCGGACGGGUGAGUAAUGUCUGGGAAACUGCCUGAUGGAGGGGGAUAACUACUGGAAACGGUAGCUAAUACCGCAUAACGUCUUCGGACCAAAGUGGGGGACCUUCGGGCCUCACGCCAUCAGAUGUGCCCAGAUGGGAUAGCUAGUAGGUGGGGUAAUGGCUCACCUAGGCGACGAUCCCUAGCUGGUCUGAGAGGAUGACCAGCCACACUGGAACUGAGACACGGUCCAGACUCC
This 314-nucleotide ribosomal RNA is filed under the name uncultured bacterium. RNAcentral's name for it is "bacterial SSU rRNA". It matches the Rfam family "Bacterial small subunit ribosomal RNA", at positions 30 to 339 of the family's 1533-position model. The record is from RNAcentral.